UAUAUAAAAUCAUGAUUUCGUCUCCUUAAAACUUGGCUACUGUUGACUUUGAGAACUAAUGUCCUGCUGUGGAGUCCCUAACAUUUAUUUGCAUGUUGAUGAAUGCUAACAAUUAAGAAGGCUUCGAGCAAAUUGGCUUCGACAACAAAUCUUGAUGAUGUACCACAUUCUUUUUCCACUCUGUGGUGAGUACUACUGCAUUAGACCUUAUGCACUUGCGGCUCAAUCGAUUGCCCUGCCUUGCCUUUAUGAUAACCAAGAAGAUUUCAUAGGAAUGGACUUCAUGGUGGAGAUUUCGUAGGAAUUUUGCAAGUGUUGCAGUGGAUUUGACGAUGGAGAUUGCUAUGAUCGUGUAGGUUUUUCAAUGGAGUUGAAUCAGGGUUUUUUCCUAUAGCUUUUGCCGUUGUUGAUGCUAAGAAUAAAGACAAUUGGUGUUGGUUCCUUGAAUAUUUAUGUCAAGUAUUGGGAUCGGAGAGGGUGAUAAGUUUCAUAUCAGAUCGACAUUAUGGUAUUGUGGAAAGAAUUGCUAGGUUUUUUUCCUAAUUACUAUCAUAGAUUUUGUCUUGAACAUCUAAAGAGAAAUUUGAGGGAUAGGUUAUCAUAUGGAAACACAAAUUUGGUUAGGGAGACGAUUAUGUCCAAGUUUUCAGAAUGUGCAUAUGUGCCAACAAAGAAAUCAUUCCAUUUCAAGUUAAAUGAAUUAAAAAGUGAUGGAGGAGACAUUGUGAAUGUUUUCUUGAGAAGUUUAUCGUAUGAAAAUUAGAGAUGCAUAUUUUGAGGGGAAAUGUUAUGGUGAGAUGUAUUCAAAUAUUGCUGAGUCAUCCAAUUCAUGGAUACGAGAUGCUUGGCACUUGCCAAUAACAAAUUUGGUGGACAUGAUACGGUUGUAAAUUAUGAAUAUGAGGUCUGAUAAGAGGCUGCUCUCUAGUAAAU
Molecule: non-coding RNA, 933 nt
Organism: Camellia sinensis
Lineage: Eukaryota; Viridiplantae; Streptophyta; Magnoliopsida; Ericales; Theaceae
Source: RefSeq, a predicted model, not a curated record